This 1086-nucleotide long non-coding RNA is filed under the name Homo sapiens (human). Its description in RNAcentral is "HSALNT0352436". Lineage: Eukaryota; Metazoa; Chordata; Mammalia; Primates; Hominidae. The record is from RNAcentral.
CAGUGCAUCUGGACUUGGUUCAAGUGGCACCAGCCAAAUCCCUGCCUUACUGACCUCUCCCCUGGAGGAGCAGGAGCAGCGCUCAAGGCCGCCCUGGGAGGGCUGAGAGGCAGGCUCUGGACUGGGGACACAGGGAUAGCUGAGCCCCAGCUGGGGGUGGAAGCUGAGCCAGGGACAGUCACAGAGGAACAAGAUCAAGAUGCGCUUUAACUGAGAAGCCCCCAAGGCAGAGGCUGAGAAUCAGAAGACAUUUCAGCAGACAUCUACAAAUCUGAAGGACAAAACAUGGUUCAAGCAUCUGGGCACAGGCGGUCCACCCGUGGCUCCAAAAUGGUCUCCUGGUCCGUGAUAGCAAAGAUCCAGGAAAUAUGAUGCGAGGAAGAUGAGAGGAAGAUGGCGCGAGAGUUCCUGGCCGAGUUCAUGAGCACAUAUGUCAUGAUGGAGGACUUGUGUGAAGAAGGCCAAGUCUCAGCACCCAGUGUGGUACCCAUGUAUUGGUCCCUUGUUAUUAGGACGGGUGCUCUAGCUGCUGUCUCCUCUCUGUCUCUGGCCCUCCCCUACUCCUCUCUUACCUCCCCACCUGCUUUGGCUCCUGAGCUGUGAGGACAGCAGUUGGAUCCUGUCCCUCCUUAAUCCAGGGCAAAGUAAUUCACUUACCACAAGACAUUCCAGCCCCAUGAGGGCUGUUAACCCUUGGAGCCUCGGAGGCAGGAGGGUGCAUCCUCUGAGAGCUGUUAGGGAAAUAGGCACCGCCCACAUGCUUGAUACCUGCCCACAUCUGUGUUCCUCUUCCUUUUGCUGAGAUUUUCAUUGAGCACCUAAUGCAUCCCGGGCUCUGUGAUGCUAAGCCCCUUACGUGCAGCAUCUUCCCAAAUCCUCGCAAUAGCCCUGUGAAGUAGGUACUAUUGUUAUCCCAGUUUCACAGAUGGGAAAACUGAGGCUCCUUGAGACUAAGCCUUUUGCCCAAGGUCACACUUUAAGUCAAGAUUAAAUCCAGUGCAGUCUAAUAUCACAGUCUUUUUUGUUUUUGUUUUUGUUUUUUUGAGAUACAGUCUUGCUUUGUCACAGUGGUGCAAUCUCGGCUCA